This 500-nucleotide ribosomal RNA is filed under the name uncultured bacterium. RNAcentral describes it as "partial 16S ribosomal RNA". It matches the Rfam family "Bacterial small subunit ribosomal RNA", at positions 29 to 523 of the family's 1533-position model. The record is from RNAcentral.
AUUGAACGCUGGCGGCAUGCCUUACACAUGCAAGCCGAACGGCAGCACGGACUUCGGUCUGGUGGCGAGUGGCGAACGGGUGAGUAAUACAUCGGAACGUGCCCAGUCAUGGGGGAUAACGCAGCGAAAGUUGUGCUAAUACCGCAUACGCCCUGAGGGGGAGAGGGGGGGAUCGCAAGACCUCAUGUUAUCGGAGCGGCCGAUGGCUGAUUAGCUAGUUGGUGCGGUAAAGGCUCACAAAGGCGACGAUCGGUAGCUGGUCUGAGAGGACGACCGGCCCCACUGGGACUGCGGCACGGCACAUGCUCCUACGGGAGUCAGCAGUGGGAUAUUUUGGACAAUGGGCGAAAGCGUGAUCCAGUAGUGCCGCGGGAGCGAAGAAGGCCUUCGGGUGGCAAAGCCCUUUUGGCAGGGAAGAACACUGUUUGGCUAAUACCCGAAUCGGAUCAGGGUACCUGAAGAAUAAGCCCCGGCUAACUACGUGCCAGCAGCCGCCGUAA